This 463-nucleotide unclassified non-coding RNA is filed under the name Hevea brasiliensis (rubber tree). Lineage: Eukaryota; Viridiplantae; Streptophyta; Magnoliopsida; Malpighiales; Euphorbiaceae. The record is from RNAcentral.
GGAAAGAUAUGAACUGGCUGAGAUAAGAAAAAGAUGGGCUACUUUACCUGAGCUGAUCCCUGAUGAAGAGCGAACACGUGGAAGAUGCCCCUUAACACCCCAUGAAGUUGGACUUAUGCUGCGGGCGCUUGGAUUCAAAAAUGACACAUACCUUUAUGUUGCAUCCGGUGAAGUAUAUGGUGGAGAAAAAUCUCUGCAGCCACUAAAGGAGCUGUUCCCAAACUUCUAUACAAAAGAGAUAGUUGCUGGUGAUGAGCUGAAACCUUUUCUUCCCUACUCUUCUCGUCUUGCAGCAAUCGACUAUGUUGUGUGUGAUGAAAGUGAUGUCUUUGUAACCAACAAUAAUGGGAACAUGGCUAAGAUCCUUGCUGGUAGUAGGAGGUACAUGGGGCACAAGAGGACGAUCAGACCAAAUGCGAAAAGGCUCAGUGCAUUGUUCAUGGCACGGGAUAAGAUGGAUUGG